Molecule: transfer RNA, 72 nt
Filed under: Ictidomys tridecemlineatus (thirteen-lined ground squirrel)
Lineage: Eukaryota; Metazoa; Chordata; Mammalia; Rodentia; Sciuridae
Description: Spermophilus tridecemlineatus (thirteen-lined ground squirrel) tRNA
Rfam family: tRNA
About the family: Transfer RNA (tRNA) molecules are approximately 80 nucleotides in length.
Source: Rfam by way of RNAcentral
GGAGGCAUAGCUUAGUGGUAGAGCCCUUGACUGGCAUUCAUGAGGCCCUGAGUUCAAUCUCCAGUUCUGCCA